GCCUGGCUAGCUCAGUCGGUAGAGCAUGAGACUCUUAAUCUCAGGGUCAUGGGUUCAAGCCCCAUGUUGGGUG
RNAcentral lists this transfer RNA (73 nucleotides) under Neotoma lepida (desert woodrat). It matches the Rfam family "tRNA". From Rfam's summary of the family: Transfer RNA (tRNA) molecules are approximately 80 nucleotides in length. Their secondary structure includes four short double-helical elements and three loops (D, anti-codon, and T loops). The record is from Rfam by way of RNAcentral. Lineage: Eukaryota; Metazoa; Chordata; Mammalia; Rodentia; Cricetidae.